RNAcentral lists this unclassified non-coding RNA (374 nucleotides) under soil metagenome. RNAcentral's name for it is "partial contains internal transcribed spacer 2 and large subunit ribosomal RNA". The stretch from base 1 to 120 matches the Rfam family "5.8S ribosomal RNA", at positions 35 to 154 of the family's 154-position model. The record is from RNAcentral.
GAUGAAGAACGUAGCGAAAUGCGAUAAUUAAUGUGAAUUGCAGAAUUCCGUGAAUCAUCGAGUCUUUGAACGCACAUUGCGCCUCAUGGCAUUCCGUGAGGCAUGUCCAUCUCAGCGUUAGAAAAUAUUCUCAAAUUUUAGUUUUGUGCUAAAAUUUGGAUCAUGUCAAAGAAGCUAUUACUAUUAUUGUGAUCGCUCUUUGGAAAUUGAUAGGUCUUUGAGUUGCUACUCAUAGAACGUGAUGAAUCUUUCUUCGUUCUAUUGUAAUUCACUCUGGUAGUCCUAAAACUUGUAUGCCUGUGGCAUAUCUUGUAAUUUGACCUGAGAUUGGGUAGGGAUACCCGCUGAACUUAAGCAUAUCAAUAAGCGGAGGA